UGCAUUUGCAACCAGAUCUCAGACGUGAUUACGCUCUGAUCUUACGCAUAUCUUUUAGCGGAGGAGAAGAAUCUAACUAGUAUUCUUUUUAAUACGGAGAGUAAAAA
This 107-nucleotide ribosomal RNA is filed under the name Heterorhabditis sp. EPNKU44. RNAcentral describes it as "partial 28S ribosomal RNA". Lineage: Eukaryota; Metazoa; Nematoda; Chromadorea; Rhabditida; Heterorhabditidae. The record is from RNAcentral.